Molecule: ribosomal RNA, 502 nt
Filed under: uncultured bacterium
Lineage: Bacteria
Description: partial 16S ribosomal RNA
Rfam family: Bacterial small subunit ribosomal RNA
Source: RNAcentral
AUUGAACGCUGGCGGCAGGCUUAACACAUGCAAGUCGAGCGGGGUGAUGGUGCUUGCACUAUCACUUAGCGGCGGACGGGUGAGUAAUGCUUAGGAAUCUGCCUAUUAGUGGGGACAACAUCUCGAAAGGGAUGCUAAUACCGCAUACGUCCUACGGGAGAAAGCAGGGGAUCACUUGUGACCUUGCGCUAAUAGAUGAGCCUAAGUCGGAUUAGUUAGUUGGUGGGGUAAAGGCCUACCAAGGCGACGAUCUGUAGCGGGUCCGAGAGGAUGAUCCGCCACACUGGGACUGAGACACGGCCCAGACUCCUACGGGAGGCAGCAGUGGGGAAUAUUGGACAAUGGGGGGAACCCUGAUCCAGCCAUGCCGCGUGUGUGAAGAAGGCCUUAUGGUUGUAAAGCACUUUAAGCGAGGAGGAGGCUCUUUUGGUUAAUACCCAAGAUGAGUGGACGUUACUCGCAGAAUAAGCACCGGCUAACUCUGUGCCAGCCGCCGCCGUAA